GAAUGCUGACAUAAGUAACGAUAAAGCGGGUGAAAAGCCCGCUCGCCGGAAGACCAAGGGUUCCUGUCCAACGUUAAUCGGGGCAGGGUGAGUCGACCCCUAAGGCGAGGCCGAAAGGCGUAGUCGAUGGGAAACGGGUUAAUAUUCCCGUACUUGGUGUUACUGCGAAGGGGGGACGGAGAAGGCUAUGUUGGCCGGGCGACGGUUGUCCCGGUUUAAGCGUGUAGGUGUGUGUUCCAGGUAAAUCCGGUUCACUUUAACACUGAGGCGUGACGACGAGGCACUACGGUGCUGAAGCAACAAAUGCCCUGCUUCCAGGAAAAGCCUCUAAGCAUCAGGUAACAUCAAAUCGUACCCCAAACCGACACAGGUGGUCAGGUAGAGAAUACCAAGGCGCUUGAGAGAACUCGGGUGAAGGAACUAGGCAAAAUGGUGCCGUAACUUCGGGAGAAGGCACGCUGACACGUAGGUGAAGUGAUUUACUCAUGGAGCUGAAGUCAGUCGAAGAUACCAGCUGGCUGCAACUGUUUAUUAAAAACACAGCACUGUGCAAACACGAAAGUGGACGUAUACGGUGUGACGCCUGCCCGGUGCCGGAAGGUUAAUUGAUGGGGUCAGCGCAAGCGAAGCUCCUGAUCGAAGCCCCGGUAAACGGCGGCCGUAACUAUAACGGUCCUAAGGUAGCGAAAUUCCUUGUCGGGUAAGUUCCGACCUGCACGAAUGGCGUAAUGAUGGCCAGGCUGUCUCCACCCGAGACUCAGUGAAAUUGAACUCGCUGUGAAGAUGCAGUGUACCCGCGGCAAGACGGAAAGACCCCGUGAACCUUUACUAUAGCUUGACACUGAACAUUGAGCCUUGAUGUGUAGGAUAGGUGGGAGGCUUUGAAGUGUGGACGCCAGUCUGCAUGGAGCCGACCUUGAAAUACCACCCUUUAAUGUUUGAUGUUCUAACGUGGACCCGUGAUCCGGGUUGCGGACAGUGUCUGGUGGGUAGUUUGACUGGGGCGGUCUCCUCCUAAAGAGUAACGGAGGAGCACGAAGGUUGGCUAAUCCUGGUCGGACAUCAGGAGGUUAGUGCAAUGGCAUAAGCCAGCUUGACUGCGAGCGUGACGGCGCGAGCAGGUGCGAAAGCAGGUCAUAGUGAUCCGGUGGUUCUGAAUGGAAGGGCCAUCGCUCAACGGAUAAAAGGUACUCCGGGGAUAACAGGCUGAUACCGCCCAAGAGUUCAUAUCGACGGCGGUGUUUGGCACCUCGAUGUCGGCUCAUCACAUCCUGGGGCUGAAGUAGGUCCCAAGGGUAUGGCUGUUCGCCAUUUAAAGUGGUACGCGAGCUGGGUUUAGAACGUCGUGAGACAGUUCGGUCCCUAUCUGCCGUGGGCGCUGGAGAACUGAGGGGGGCUGCUCCUAGUACGAGAGGACCGGAGUGGACGCAUCACUGGUGUUCGGGUUGUCAUGCCAAUGGCACUGCCCGGUAGCUAAAUGCGGAAGAGAUAAGUGCUGAAAGCAUCUAAGCACGAAACUUGCCCCGAGAUGAGUUCUCCCU
Molecule: ribosomal RNA, 1541 nt
Filed under: Salmonella enterica
Lineage: Bacteria; Pseudomonadati; Pseudomonadota; Gammaproteobacteria; Enterobacterales; Enterobacteriaceae
Description: partial 23S ribosomal RNA
Rfam family: Bacterial large subunit ribosomal RNA
Source: RNAcentral